GCCCUUUGACGAUCACAGAGCAAAGAGUACCAACGAAGGUAUUUUUUCUUCUUUUUUUUUUUCGAUUUCCUACAUCUUUCUUUUUUCUUUUUCUUUUUUUUUGCUUUUUUUUUUGUAGGUCAAGAAAAGAAAAGUCGUUGAGUGCUAAGUUGACGGGCAACUCCAUGACUUCCCAUAUAAGAAUAAUUCAUCAUGAUAUAUAGAUGAUUAGAUCUGCAACAACAUAUAGAAGGUCAAAUCCCUUGCAACAUAUAGACGAGCAAAUUCACAUCAACAUAUAGGCAGAUAAAUCCACACCAACAUAUAGACGGACAAAUCUCCAUCACCAUAUAGACGGACAAAUCCAUAUCAAUAUAUAGACGGACAAAUCCACAUCAACAUAUAAACGGACAAAUCCACAUCAACAUAUAAACGGACAAAUCCACAUCAACAUAUAGACGGACAAAUCCCCAUCACCAUAUAGACGGAUAAAUUCACAUCAACAUAUAGAUGGACGAAUUCUCAUCACCAUACAGACGGACAAAUCCAUAUCAACAUAUAGACGGAUAAAUCCAUACCAACAUAUAGAAGUAUCAAAUCCAUGAAGAGGCCGACUUAAGGUGCAAAGGGAUUUAAACGUCCACCUUAAGAUUGGAAAAUUAUAGUUCCUUUCAAGGACAAACCCACUAAGAGGCCAACUUAAGGUGUAAAUGGACUUAUAUGUCCACCUUAAGAUUGGAAAGUUAUAGUUCUUUUUAAGGACAAACCCACAAAUAGGCCAACUUAAGGUGCAAAGGGACUUAUAUGUCCACCUUAAGAUAGGAAAAUUAUAAAGCUUCAACUCGAAGACUUCAUGGACUUGAUGACGUCGACUUGAAUACUUGGAAAACUUUGAAGAUUCGGCGGACUUUGCAGACCUCAAUUUGAAGACCGACAAACUUGAAGAUUCGGCGGACUUAAUCUGAAAAAUUUGAGGGCUCAAAUACUUCCACUUAAACACCGACGCUUUUUGAGGACCUCAACUUGAACACUUCAACUUGGAGACCUAGAGGGUUUAGAUACCUCAACUUGAAGGGUGGCGAACAAGAAGACUUCAACUUGAAGACCGACGGACUUGAGGAUUUCAACUUGGAGACUUCGAGGGCUUAAACAACUCAACUUGAAUUCUGGUGAACUGAAGGACUUCAACUUAAAGGACGGUGAACUUGGAGGGCUUGAAUACUUCAACUUAAAGCUGGCGGAUUUGCAGACUUCAACUUGAAGACCAAAAAUUUGAAGGCUUGGUGAACUUGAAGGCAUAACGAAUCACCAGGCUUCAUUGCACAUGCUUGAUAUCCUCCUAAAAGACUAUAAUCAUUCCAUUGAAGACACCAAUUUAUCAUGGAAGCUUUCCUCUUUUAAAUCAAAUGUGAUCAAAGUUCAACAGAAGGAUGGUGUUUCAGCUUGAUUUUACAUUCCUCCAUACUUCACUCGGAAAACAAUUGGGGUAAUAUGUAUCUUUUGAACUUAUGCGACUGAACUUAGAAUGAAACUCUAAACUGCCUACGUACCUCGGUGAAGAGAAUCAAGUCAUAUCGUAGUUCAGACUGGGUAAUUUAAUUUUUUUUAUUUUUUUUAUGUCCUAACUUUUGUCUAGGCCGCCUCUUUCGAAGUUUUCAACCUAGCGGACUCUUUUUUUUGGGGCCGUACACAGUUUAAACUCAUGCGGGCCAAGAGUGUAGCAAUAUGCAGUUUAGGCUCGUGCGUCAAGGAGCGUUGCAACUUCAAGGAUAAUACUUCUUUAAAAACUUGCCAUUGAUAGGGCCGAUUCUCAUGCCAUCUGCAUCAACCAACUUGUAAGCCCCACUUGAGUAAGCUUCUUGUACGACGUAUGGACUAUCCCAUUUUGAAGUGAACUUCCCUACAGGUUUAUGGGAAGUAAUUAUGGGUCUUCGUACGACAAGGACUUGAUCUCCUACUUGAAAGGAUCUAGGGCGAACUCUUUUAUUGAAGGCGUGAGAUAAUCGAGCUUGAUAACAUUCAAGACUCUAUUGAGCGUCCAACCUCUUCUCAUUAAGAGCCUCCAACUCAGCUAACCGAAGUCGAGCAUUUUCUUCAUCAGUGAUCCCUUCUUAAAUAGCCAGUCGUAACGAAGGUAUUUGACGCUCAAGUGGCAAGACGACUUCGACUCCAUAAACGAGUGAAUAAGGAGUCGCCUGUGUUGGCGUGCGGUGAGUCAUCCUAUAUGCCCAUAGAGCUUCUUCCAUACGGUUAUUCCAAUCUCGGUUGGAUUUGGAGACGACUUUCUUUAACAAGUUGCGUAGAGUCUUGUUGAAUGCCUCAGCUAGACCAUUGGCGGCAACAUUAUACAUCGAAGAGUUACAUUGCUUGAAGCCAAAGAGAUCACAAAUCUUAUUCAUCAGCCUAUAAUCGAAUGGCUUUCCAUUAUUCGUUAUUAUGUAACGAGGAAUGCCAAAGCAAUAAAUAAUGUUUACUCAGAUGAAACUUGCAACAUUUUCCUUCUUGCGCGUACCCUAG
This 2496-nucleotide long non-coding RNA is filed under the name Nicotiana tabacum (common tobacco). Its description in RNAcentral is "long non-coding RNA (NTAB_LNC008834)". The record is from RNAcentral. Lineage: Eukaryota; Viridiplantae; Streptophyta; Magnoliopsida; Solanales; Solanaceae.